Molecule: small nuclear RNA, 124 nt
Organism: Octodon degus (degu)
Lineage: Eukaryota; Metazoa; Chordata; Mammalia; Rodentia; Octodontidae
Source: Ensembl
GUGUUGUAUGAAAGAAGAGAAGGUUAGCACUCCCCUUGACAAGGAUGAAAGAGGCCCUCAGACCUGACAACAUGGGUAUGGUUAAGGCAUUGCACCUAAUAGUGGCUUCUUAUCACUGUUUUUG